GACGUAGACCUCGAGCGUUAUCCGGAUUUAUUGGGCGUAAAGCGCGUGUAGGUGGUUUUGCGCGUCUUCUGUUAAAGCCCAGGGCCUAACCCUGGAUCUGCAGGAGAUACGGCGAGACUAGAGGAGGUUAGAGGUGCAUGGAACGCACGGUGUAGGGGUGAAAUCCGUUGAUAUCGUGCGGAACACCAAAGGCGAAGGCAGUGCACUGGGACCUUCCUGACACUGAGACGCGAAAGCGUGGGGAGCAAAAAGG
RNAcentral lists this ribosomal RNA (253 nucleotides) under uncultured bacterium. RNAcentral's name for it is "partial 16S ribosomal RNA". It matches the Rfam family "Bacterial small subunit ribosomal RNA", at positions 524 to 776 of the family's 1533-position model. The record is from RNAcentral.